RNAcentral lists this long non-coding RNA (2841 nucleotides) under Sus scrofa (pig). RNAcentral describes it as "lncRNA (ENSSSCG00035024177.1)". Lineage: Eukaryota; Metazoa; Chordata; Mammalia; Artiodactyla; Suidae. The record is from RNAcentral.
AUAUUGCAUCCAGAAAAACAUAUUCAGUGAAAAUUUGAAAUCAUGAAACAUUGAGAACAACCAAGAAUUUAUUAUUAUUAAAUGAUCAGAUAAAGUAUGCCAAAUUUUUACAAUGGCAUACUAUGUCAUAAUUAAAAAAGAAUAGGUAGAAGUCUAUAAAUGGAUAUGAAUAGAUUGCCAAGACACAUGAUUAGGUAAAAUAAGAAUAUAUAAAUUAUAAUGCUUUUAUGCAAAUCAAAUCUAUUUCUAAAUGCAUAGGAAAGUGAUAGACAUAUUUGUUAAACAAUUACAAGUGUUUGACUCACAGUAAGUUUUCACUUUUUGAAGAAUAUAAUUCCCUAUUGUAUGAAAAAUUUACAACAUACUCUUGUAUCAGAUAUUCCAAUGUAAGGCUCUUAGAGUCGUAAACUUAAUGUUAGAACACAUUUUUUAAAAACUUCCCUCUCCAACAUAUUAGUUCCUUUAACUGAUAUACUGGAAGUUCCCAUUUGUGGCUCAGCAGGUUAAGAACCUGACUACUAUCCACGAGGAUCCCUGGCCUUGCUCGGCAGUUUAAAUAUCUGGUAUUGCUAUAAACUAUAUAGGUCACAGGUGGCUCAGAUCCAGUGUUGCUGUGGCGUAGGCUGGCAGAGGCAGCNNNNNNNNNNNNNNNNNNNNNNNNNNNNNNNNNNNNNNNNNNNNNNNNAAAAAAAAAAAAAAAAAAAAAAAAAAAAAAAAGACCAAUAUACCUAAUUAAGUUGUGGUGAAGAUGCUGUGAAUAGGAUAAGAAAAAUCAUCACUAAGAUGAAAUUCAGGCCUGAAAAUUUAUUAUUUAACUUGAGCACUUGACUUGGCCUUUGGAGUGAGAACAAAGGUGUGUGUAUAUCUCACAUGCCAUGAGCAAGGCUUAGGAUAUUAACCUGUUAAUGUCUCAUCCAUUUACCUGAACUCACCCAAAUAAAUGGAAGGUAGGUAAAAAAAUUGUUUAUUCUUGUUUGGGAGAAUAAAAUACAGUACAUAAAGAACUAAGUUCUCAAUUAUUUUUCAUAUUAUUCUGAUUAAGCAAAUCUCCUGCUUAUUUCAUUAAAGAAACAUAAAAUUACCUCGUGUUAAUCUAGUUUCCUUUUUAUAUGCACACAUUCUUACAAUCUCCUAGAUAUUUGCAGUUCUGGUUAUCACUUUUGUGGAUUGCUCCUAUAGUUACAGCAUUCUAAUUAACUGCUCUUCCCCUAGCUAAGUUCUUUUCUACUUUUUGACUAUUUGAAUGUUAGCAGAAAUCAUAAAUUUAGCAUGCUUGGUAUGAGUUACCAGCUUGUGCUAAACACAUUUUUUCCACGUGCUUCACUUUGUUCAUGGUAUUACCAUCUUUUCAAUAAUUCCGACUUGACUACCAGUAUGUUUGUUAUUUGUACCGUCCAUCUUAGGCAUUCAACCAAUAACACAUAGUGAAUGGCUUUCAUGUUCCCAGCACUGCCAGAUGUCAUGACUUAUCAACUACAUUCUGUCAUUUUCAGUCUAUGAGGAAAGAGAGAUAAUUGAAGUCAUAGUCCUGUAAAAUAAUACUAUAAAUAUCCAAGGGCAAUUUGAUAGCAUAUUCCAGAAACUCCUAAUUGAUGUUGGAGGAAAUGAGGAGAGGUAAGAAAAGACUGGGCAGUAAUCAGAGAAGGUUUCCUGGGCCAAGUACUGGAAAUCAUAUCUUUGGAAGAUUCCUUGUCUCUGUUAUGCAUUUCACCAUUUAAACAAAACUAUUCUAAUUAAGACUCUCAUUACAUGUAGAAUAUACUGUUGCAAAAGUGUUCACCAAAAGCUUCUUUCCUGGUGUCUGUUUUACUCUUGUCUACACUUUCACAAGGGAAUCAUUUGUUGGUCAUCCUGGUGUCUUCUCUAUUUUUGCCCUUGAUAUUCUCCUACCAGAAAACUGGAGAUGUUUCCUUUUGCUCACUAGUCUAUUACUUUCAAUCCACAAACUGGAUUCAACCUUAUUUGUCACGUUUCACCCACUCUAAGGUUGCUCUGUCCAAUAUGAUAUUCACCAGAUGCAUGUGACUUNAUUUAUAAAUUUAAUUCCUUAGUCACACUAGCUACAUUUCAAGUGCUCAGUAACCACAUGUGGCUAGUUGCUAUUUUAUUGCAUAGCAUGUAUAACAGAUAGUUUCACUCCCAGAAAGUUUUAUUAUAUGGGGCUGCUCUAAUUUCUCGCAAAAUUGAGAUAAAUGUUUUCCUCUACAUAGAUCAGUCCUCACCUAUAUGAUUUUGUUCUCUAUGAAUUUUCUUCCUAGAAAGGCUUUUCUUCCAUUUCUCUUUGCUUAUAUCAUUUGUCUUUCAAAUCCAUAUUGCAAUCUUUCUCCUCCAUAAAAUUUUCCCUGAUCACAGAAGCAAUGUUUUAAUUACUUUAAUUACUUUACAUAAUGUAUCAAUCUAGCUUUAACAUAUACACUUUAUAUCUUGCAUUAUAAUUAUUUCUGUACAUAUCUUAUUUAUCCACCUAGGGUAUAGGCUCUCUAGCCACCAUAUUUGCAUUUUAUGCAAUACCUAUCACAUCUGUCACGUAUUAUUGAGGGCUUAUUAAAUGAUUUGAUUUUAGUUGAGUUUAAUUCUUAAAGAUGUGAUAUUCAUAUACAUGCAUUUUUAAUCUUGAGGAAAAGAUUUGGAAAGAGUAUACUUGUAGGCCUAAUUUAAAAUAUCUGGAGGAUUGUAAUAUUAUUACUUUUUUGUGUUAGAAGACAAAGGGCUUAAAAAUAUAAUUAACCCAUUAUCUCUCAAUUAAAGAAUAUAUAAUUACCUCAGUCUAUGAAAGGUUUAGGAAAAAUUCCCAUUUACAGAAAUUAGCAGCAUUAAAAAAAAAAAAAACAAAAAAAAAAA